GACGAACGCUGGCGGCGUGCUUAACACAUGCAAGUCGAACGGUGAAGGGACCGGUUUUUGCUGGUUCUGGAUGAGUGGCGAACGGGUGAGUAACACGUGAGUAACCUGCCCCCUUCUUCUGGAUAACCGCAUGAAAGUGUGGCUAAUACGGGAUAUUCUGCGCCUGCUGCAUGGUGGGUGUGGGAAAGAUAUUGUUUCGGUGGGGGAUGGGCUCGCGGCCUAUCAGCUUGUUGGUGGGGUGAUGGCCUACCAAGGCGGUGACGGGUAGCCGGCCUGAGAGGGUGGACGGUCACACUGGGAAUGAGACACGGCGCAGACUCCUACGGGAGGCAGCAGUGGGGAAUAUUGCACAAUGGGCGCAAGCCUGAUGCAGCGACGCCGCGUGAGGGAUGGAGGCCUUCGGGUUGUAAACCUCUUUCGCCAGUGAAGCAGGCCUGUCCCUUUUGUGGGUGGGUUGACGGUAGCUGGAGAAGAAGCGCCGGCUAACUACGUG
Molecule: ribosomal RNA, 493 nt
Filed under: uncultured bacterium
Lineage: Bacteria
Description: partial 16S ribosomal RNA
Rfam family: Bacterial small subunit ribosomal RNA
Source: RNAcentral